RNAcentral lists this ribosomal RNA (446 nucleotides) under uncultured bacterium. Its description in RNAcentral is "SSU rRNA". It matches the Rfam family "Bacterial small subunit ribosomal RNA", at positions 26 to 518 of the family's 1533-position model. The record is from RNAcentral.
AGAACGAACGCUGGCGGCAUGCCUAACACAUGCAAGUCGAACGAGAUCUUCGGGUCUAGUGGCGCACGGGUGCGUAACGCGUGGGAAUCUGCCCUUAGGUUCGGAAUAACAGUUAGAAAUGACUGCUAAUACCGGAUAAUGACGUAAGUCCAAAGAUUUAUCGCCUAGGGAUGAGCCCGCGUAAGAUUAGCUAGUUGGUGGGGUAAAGGCCUACCAAGGCUACGAUCUUUAGCUGGUCUGAGAGGAUGAUCAGCCACACUGGGACUGAGACACGGCCCAGACUCCUACGGGAGGCAGCAGUGGGGAAUAUUGGACAAUGGGCGAAAGCCUGAUCCAGCAAUGCCGCGUGAGUGAUGAAGGCCUUAGGGUUGUAAAGCUCUUUUACCCGGGAUGAUAAUGACAGUACCGGGAGAAUAAGCUCCGGCUAACUCCGUGCCAGCAGCCGC